This 761-nucleotide long non-coding RNA is filed under the name Chrysolophus pictus (golden pheasant). Its description in RNAcentral is "lncRNA (ENSCPIG00010004456.1)". The record is from RNAcentral. Lineage: Eukaryota; Metazoa; Chordata; Aves; Galliformes; Phasianidae.
GUCAAAAUGUUUCUUUUAGGUGUUGACAAAAAUGUUGAAAUCAGAAUGCUGAUAGCUGUCAAUUCGAUCAUCAGCAACGAGACUUACUUUUAUUAAGGUUGUUCAAAAUGCUGUAUUAAAUGCACAUACAACAUCAUGACUAUUUGUGGCAUAACUGAAUUGACAGUAGUCAUUUUUUCUGUUGUAAAUCCUAGGCACUGAUUCAGCUUAUAAGAAAAUAAAACAAAUAAGUAUACAACCCGACCCUGAAUCUUUUUAACCAUACUGCAUCUUAUUAACUAAUCCCCCAUUUUGUAAGCACAUGAUUCUGCCAGCAAUAUUUUCUCAUUCUGAGCAGGAUCAGAGGUGUUAGUGGCAGAAGUCAACAUACCAAGAAAGUGUCUGCUUUUGUUCUGACUGCACUGGAGAGCAAGAAGCAGAGAGUUGUACACGAGAGCUUUCCUUCUGCUCCCCAGCCUUCUUGGAUGGAAGUGGCUGAAAAUUUGGACAGGUCUUGGGUUAAUUUUGGCACUCCCAAAUACUUUUCCAGCCCAAGUCCAGUCUCUAAACCAUAUACAUGGAAGGACAAGAAGACAUGAAAGAUGUUUCAAGCAGAGUUUGCAAGAAAGACAGGAAAGAGUCUGAGAAAGAAGUCUGUGAUUACUCCUGAAGAUGAUGAUUAAACAGGCUCAAGCUUCCUCUUUGGUUGAUGUGAAUUCUGAACAAUUUCCAUAGGCUCACAUGGAUUUCUUUCGGGUCUGUAUUGGUGCAGCUAAAGUUGG